ACUUUCUGGUUGGAACCGAAUAGAGAGUUCAUAAAUGAACUUUCCCAUCCAAACAACAUUGUUUGUAAACUUCUAUAUGGCAAUAUAUAUCUUGCAUUCAUAAUGGAACACACUAAAGUCAUACUUUAAUGUUUCCAUCCAAAAUAUCUCUUUAGUCAUAAUAAAGAGAUAUCUGUUUAUCUCUUCAUUCAUAAUGAAGAAACAUCCAAUGAUGGAUUAGAUUCAUAAUCUAAUACAUUUACGCUUCCAUUACGUCACUUUGAUUCUUCCUCGAUCUUUGAGGAAUUUAUCCUUUAGUAUUUCUCAAAUACUUAAGGACUCACUUGACAGUUGCCAUGGUUCUGAUCCUGGGCUUGCACUGAUAUCAUCUUGUACCGUU
RNAcentral lists this long non-coding RNA (379 nucleotides) under Malus domestica (apple). RNAcentral describes it as "long non-coding RNA (MDOM_LNC021208)". Lineage: Eukaryota; Viridiplantae; Streptophyta; Magnoliopsida; Rosales; Rosaceae. The record is from RNAcentral.